GUGGAUUUUUAGCCCUGGUGGGUAGCUUCCCGGAAACGAAAGUCUUCCGGUUCCGGGGGAAGUAUGGUUGCAAAGCUGAAACUUAAAGGAAUUGACGGAAGGGCACCACCAGGAGUGGAGCCUGCGGCUUAAUUUGACUCAACACGGGGAAACUCACCCGGCCCGGACACCGUAAGGAUUGACAGAUUGAUAGCUCUUUCAUGAUUCGGUGGUUGGUGGUGCAUGGCCGUUCUUAGUUCGUGGAUCGAUUUGUCUGGUUUAUUCCGAUAACGAGCGAGACUCUAGCCUACUAAAUAGUAACGAGAUUAUCAAUGUCUCAGUUGCUUCUUAGAGGGAUUUUCGGUGUUUAGCCGCACGAGAUUGAGCAAUAACAGGUCUGUGAUGCCCUUAGAUGUCCGGGGCUGCACGCGCGCUACACUGGCGAAAUCAGCGUGCUGUAUCCAUUCUCGAAAGGGAUUGGUAAACCCAUGAAAAUUUGCCGUGCUUGGGAUCGGAAAUUGCAAUUAUUUUCCGUGAACGAGGAAUUCCAAGUAAGUGCGAGUCAUCAA
This 548-nucleotide ribosomal RNA is filed under the name Acrobeloides sp. GSb13. Its description in RNAcentral is "SSU rRNA". It matches the Rfam family "Eukaryotic small subunit ribosomal RNA", at positions 1060 to 1634 of the family's 1831-position model. Lineage: Eukaryota; Metazoa; Nematoda; Chromadorea; Rhabditida; Cephalobidae. The record is from RNAcentral.